CUCAACCUUGGAAUUGCCUUCAAAACUGAUCGUCUCGAGGCCGGGAGAGGGCAGUGGAAUUCCCAGUGUAGAGGUGAAAUUCGUAGAUAUUGGGAAGAACACCGGUGGCGAAGGCGGCUGCCUGGCCCGGACCUGACGCUGAGGUGCGAAAGCGUGGGGAGCGAACAGGAUUAGAUACCCUGGUAGUCCACGCCGUAAACGAUGGGUGCUAGGUGUCGGAGGACUUAGUUCUUCGGUGCCGCAGCUAACGCGUUAAGCACCCCGCCUGGGGAGUACGGCCGCAAGGCUAAAACUCAAAGGAAUUGACGGGGGCCCGCACAGGCGGUGGAGCAUGUGGUUUAAUUCGAAGCAACGCGAAGAACCUUACCAGCCCUUGACAUCCCGGUCUCGAGGCGUGGAGACACACCUCUUCAGUUCGGCUGGACC
Molecule: ribosomal RNA, 426 nt
Filed under: uncultured Alphaproteobacteria bacterium
Lineage: Bacteria; Pseudomonadati; Pseudomonadota; Alphaproteobacteria
Description: bacterial SSU rRNA
Rfam family: Bacterial small subunit ribosomal RNA
Source: RNAcentral